UACGGAGGGGGCUAGCGUUGUUCGGAAUUACUGGGCGUAAAGCGCACGUAGGCGGCUUUGUAAGUUAGAGGUGAAAGCCCGGAGCUCAACUUCGGAAUAGCCUUUAAGACUGCAUCGCUUGAACACGGGAGAGGUGAGUGGAAUUCCGAGUGUAGAGGUGAAAUUCGUAGAUAUUCGGAAGAACACCAGUGGCGAAGGCGACUCACUGGACCGUUGUUGACGCUGAGGUGCGAAAGCGUGGGGAGCAAACAGG
Molecule: ribosomal RNA, 253 nt
Filed under: uncultured bacterium
Lineage: Bacteria
Description: partial 16S ribosomal RNA
Rfam family: Bacterial small subunit ribosomal RNA
Source: RNAcentral